AACGAACGCUGGCGGCAUGCCUAACACAUGCAAGUCGAACGAUAUCUUCGGGUCUAGUGGCGCACGGGUGCGUAACGCGUGGGAAUCUGCCCUUUGGUUCGGAAUAACAGUUGGAAACGACUGCUAAUACCGGAUGAUGACGAAAGUCCAAAGAUUUAUCGCCAGAGGAUGAGCCCGCGUAGGAUUAGCUAGUUGGUGUGGUAAAGGCGAACCAAGGCGACGAUCCUUAGCUGGUCUGAGAGGAUGAUCAGCCACACUGGGACUGAGACACGGCCCAGACUCCUACGGGAGGCAGCAGUGGGGAAUAUUGGACAAUGGGCGAAAGCCUGAUCCAGCAAUGCCGCGUGAGUGAUGAAGGCCUUAGGGUUGUAAAGCUCUUUUACCCGGGAUGAUAAUGACAGUACCGGGAGAAUAAGCUCCGGCUAACUCCGUGCCAGCAGCCGAAGUAA
RNAcentral lists this ribosomal RNA (449 nucleotides) under uncultured bacterium. Its description in RNAcentral is "partial 16S ribosomal RNA". It matches the Rfam family "Bacterial small subunit ribosomal RNA", at positions 29 to 523 of the family's 1533-position model. The record is from RNAcentral.